AGAGACCAACUAAGUUUGUUCUUGGUAUGAGCUUUCGUGUGCAUGCACACUUCUUCAGAUAUUUCGUGCAUGCACACGAAAACUCAUACCAAGAACAAACUUAGUCGGUCUC
Non-coding RNA from Podarcis lilfordi (Lilford's wall lizard), 112 nucleotides. The record is from the annotation of a GenBank genome assembly. NCBI's taxonomy places the organism in Eukaryota, Metazoa, Chordata, Lepidosauria, Squamata, Lacertidae.